UUGCAGAAACCCUGUGUAUGGAUCCUUAACACUUUUUUUUUCCCCCUCUUUUUUCUGAGGUACCUAAAAUAAUAGCUUUUUAGACAGUGUUACAGUCAUAUAACUUGUUGGGAAAAACACACUAUGGCUCGCAGUCUGAAUUAAACAUGUGUCAUUCUAGAAACCUGAUAUUUUGGACCAGAUCCCUCUCUGAACAGGUUGUAUCCUGCCCUUUUCAAAAUCAAGCUAUCAGAAGAUGCCCUUCAGCAGAAGUGUUAAGAGGACUUGGUGAGCUUAACAUGUUUCGCCUGCUUAAUUUAAUUUGAAAAAAUUCAACCAGAAAAUGAAGUUAUUAACAGGUACUCCUCACUGUAUUGUAAUUAUACAUGAUGUUAUAUAUUAAAGAUAUGUACUUGUGCAUCCAGUCAUCUCUCCUCCUGUGAAUCCAUCAGCAAUCCAUAUUUACUGAAAAAUU
Molecule: long non-coding RNA, 454 nt
Organism: Neopsephotus bourkii (Bourke's parrot)
Lineage: Eukaryota; Metazoa; Chordata; Aves; Psittaciformes; Psittacidae
Exons: 3
Source: RefSeq, a predicted model, not a curated record